This 1817-nucleotide long non-coding RNA is filed under the name Homo sapiens (human). Its description in RNAcentral is "non-protein coding lnc-TUBB2A-6:1". Lineage: Eukaryota; Metazoa; Chordata; Mammalia; Primates; Hominidae. The record is from RNAcentral.
AUAUACUCUACAUCAGAUGAUGUCUGCAUCAUGAAGACAGGGCUUGUCUCUGAACUGUAGAUUGCAGAGCAGCGGACAGGUAUGGUAAACAGCCAAUCACAUUCCUAAGACACAGACUAUGGAGGACUGUCCACAGGAUCGAGAGGAUGAAGAGACCACUCUCAGGGCAGUAAAAGGCAAGGAAGAUUUUCUCUUUUUUUCAGAGACAGGGUCUUGCUCUGUUCACAUGCACCUUUUAUUUUUUGUAGAGAGGGGAUUUCACUGUGUUAUCCAGGCUGGUCUUGAGCACCAAGGCUCAAGUGAUCCUCCUGCCAAAAGUGCUGAGAUUACAGAAGUGACCCACGGAGCCCAAUCAAGGCAUAGAUGUUUUAAGGAGAAACUGACUUCAGGAAAUCCAGCCUGUAAUCCCAGCUACUUGAGAGGCUGAGGUGGGAGGAUCACUUGAGACCAGGUGUUGGAGUUCAGCCUGGGCAACAUAGCAAGACCUUGUCUCUAUAAAAAAAGGAAAAGAAAAUUCAAACUACCAAGCAAUUUGCAAAUUUGAUGCUAACGAGCUGCAAACAAACACCCCAAGGGGAGCCAUAACAGACAGCCAGGGCCCAAGCGCUGGGGAUCCCCGUGCGGAGGGGCCCUCUCUACCUCGGCUUUCAGCACGUGCAUCAGGUUGCCCUUCUCCAUGUACUCCAUCACCAGGGAGUACUUCCCUUCCUCUAUGAUGACGCCCAGGAGCUUCACCACCCGGCUGUGUCUCAGUCUGUUCAUCAUCUUCGCCUCCUCCAAGAGGGCCUCGUUGUGCCUGUGGGCAGGAAAGGUGCUAUGCUGAGGCUGGCAGAGCCAGCGCCUCAAGAGCCUGGUGCACACCUCCAACACAUCACUCCCACGUGCUGGGGUCAUGCUUGGGUCUGUACCGAUCUCUUCCAGGCACAGGCCAGAAGCGUUAGAAGGCAGAGCGGUUUCUCACUUCCUCACAGUACUCCUGCCCAGUAACUGGCAGUGCAUGCUCCAAAAAUGUAAAUCAAUGAAGGAAUGAAUGAAUCAAUGAAUGAAAAGUACAUGAACAGCAGCAAGGUAACCUGAAAAAAGACCGUGCUGGACAGAACGAUUAAAAAAAAAAAAAACAGCCUCUCUCAAAACCACUCUGACAAAGGAGGGAGAGAGGUGAAACCACUCUACUGGUUGCUUUAAAGGGAAGGCUCUCAGAACCUCUCAGGAAUGAACUGCCUUUUCAUUUUUAUACUUAGGGCUGGUCCUCACUGAAAAUGUGAAGCGAGUGAAUAGGUCUGUCUUCACCCAUCCUCCUGUUUCCUUUUCAUUGUCCCCCCACCACACUUAUCUCUUUGUCUUUCUCUAUUUCCUUCUUGUUCAUGUCUCUUCUGUUACUUACCAGCUGUGAGAGUCCUUCACUACCCAGUCUCAGAGUCCACAUCAGCGACAAUAACAAUCCGAAGAGCCAUCGUCACCCUGACAUCUUGGCAGGCUCCCUCUCACUCUACCCACCAACGGCUCCGCAGCAGCCAACGGCUCCACAACAGCCAACGUCCCCAUCCCGCUCAGAACUUAGCCCACCCACCCCUGCUCCCUACUCACUCAAUGCAGUUGGGCCCCUUGUACACUGUUUUCAUGAUCAUGAGUCCCUGGGUUCUGUGGAAACACAGAGACACCUUCCCAAAGCCUCCGCUGUCCAGUUCUGCACUCUCCAGGAAGUCACUGGAUUUCAUCUUAAUGACAUUCAAGGACAUGUCUGGUUGCAUUCUGAAGCUCAAGAACGCCCAAAAUGGUACCACUUUUUCCCCCCCCGGCAGAGCUGUACCCUGUAA